This 238-nucleotide ribosomal RNA is filed under the name uncultured bacterium. RNAcentral's name for it is "partial 16S ribosomal RNA". It matches the Rfam family "Bacterial small subunit ribosomal RNA", at positions 15 to 236 of the family's 1533-position model. The record is from RNAcentral.
GAUCCGGCUCAGGAUGAACGCUGGCGGCGUGCUUAACACAUGCAAGUCGAGCGAAGCACUUAGGAAAGAUUCUUCGGAUGAUUUCCUAUUUGACUGAGCGGCGGACGGGUGAGUAACGCGUGGGUAACCUGCCUCAUACAGGGGGAUAACAGUUAGAAAUGACUGCUAAUACCGCAUAAGACCACAGCACUGCAUGGUGCAGGGGUAAAAACUCCGGUGGUAUGAGAUGGACCCGCGU